AACGCAUCUUGCGCUCCUUGGUAUUCCAUGGAGCAUGCCUGUUUGAGUGUCACGUAAACCCUCACCCUCGCGAUGUUACAGUCGCCCGCGGUGGACUUGGACUGUGCCGUAACCGGCUCGUCUUGAAAUGCAUUAGCUGGCGCUUUUAGAGUGCUGGGCGACGGUGUGAUAAUUAUCUGCGCCAAUGCCCUGGGCCUCUUCAGCGGUGCCGCUUACAGUCGUCCCUUCCGCGGACAAUUUUACUAUAAAGCUUUGGCCUCAAAUCAGGUAGGACUACCCGCUGAACUUAA
Molecule: unclassified non-coding RNA, 290 nt
Filed under: uncultured fungus
Lineage: Eukaryota; Fungi
Description: partial contains 5.8S ribosomal RNA, internal transcribed spacer 2, and large subunit ribosomal RNA
Rfam family: 5.8S ribosomal RNA (bases 1-52)
Source: RNAcentral